GGACAAUAUCGCCGACUGGCGGGUCAUUCACAGGGAACUUUUACAGGACCAAGAGUUAAUUGGUCAGGCUCCAGUCUUCGAACUGAGGCUACUGGCUACGGAUUGGUUUUCUUUGCUCAACUUAUGCUUGCAGACAUGAACAAAGAACUAAAAGGAUUAAGGUGUGCAGUUAGCGGUUCAGGAAAGAUUGCAAUGCAUGUCCUAGAGAAGCUUAUUGCUUAUGGGGCCGUUCCCAUCACCAUAUCUGAUGCAAAGGGUUAUCUGGUGGAUGAUGAUGGAUUUGAUUUCUUGAAGAUAUCUUUCCUGAGAGACAUCAAAGCUCAGCAGAGAAGCUUAAGAGACUACUCAAAGACUUAUGCUCGCUCAAAGUACUAUGAUGAAGCGAAGCCUUGGAGUGAAAGGUGUGAUGUUGCAUUCCCCUGUGCCUCACAGAAUGAAAUUAAUCAAUCUGACGCCAUUAACUUGGUUAACUCUGGUUGUCGUAUACUUGUAGAAGGCUCCAAUAUGCCAUGUACUGCUGAAGCAGUAGACGUUUUGAGAAAAGCUAAUGUCCUAGUUGCUCCUUCUAUUGCUGCUGGUGUGGGAGGGGUUGUUGCAGGGGAACUUGAACUGAAAGAGUGCAAUUUGAACUGGUCUCCAGAGGAUUUUGAGUCUAAAUUACAGGAGGCUAUGAAACAGACUUACCAGAGAGCCCUGAAGGCAGCAGCUGAUUUUGGUUAUCAAAAGGAAAGUCCAGAGGCAUUGGUCCAUGGAGCUGUUAUCUCUGCUUUCAUAACGAUCGCCAAUGGUAUGGUGGACCAAGGAUGUGUAUAAAAUUGCAGCAUUUUCUUGACAUAGCCUCGUGUUAUAUCCAAAAUACAUUUUCAUUUGGCAUCAAUAACAAAGAAAGCGCGCCGUUGGUUCCAUCCGCAUUGUUGGCUACUUUCAUGAUCUUGCACAGUGCUUGGUAGUGUAGAUGGUGAGAGGAAUGUAUGUUUAUCAUUGUAAUGUACAUGUAUUAUGCAGGUGAGCUAUGUCUAAAACAUCGAUAGGAUACACUUUAUUAUCUAGUUAGCUAGGUUAUUAUGUUAGCUGGGAAAAUACAAAGGUUGAAAGCAAAACAAUUGUAUUAUGGGAAACUUUCAC
This 1125-nucleotide unclassified non-coding RNA is filed under the name Hevea brasiliensis (rubber tree). The record is from RNAcentral. Lineage: Eukaryota; Viridiplantae; Streptophyta; Magnoliopsida; Malpighiales; Euphorbiaceae.